RNAcentral lists this ribosomal RNA (2889 nucleotides) under Aeromonas dhakensis. RNAcentral describes it as "23S ribosomal RNA". It matches the Rfam family "Bacterial large subunit ribosomal RNA". Lineage: Bacteria; Pseudomonadati; Pseudomonadota; Gammaproteobacteria; Aeromonadales; Aeromonadaceae. The record is from RNAcentral. RNAcentral also lists the same sequence under 1 other name.
GGUUAAGUGACUAAGCGUACAUGGUGGAUGCCUUGGCAGUCAGAGGCGAUGAAGGACGUACUAACCUGCGAUAAGCCGUGAGCAGUCGGUAAGAGACAUUACGACUCACGGAUUUCCGAAUGGGGAAACCCACCCGAGAUAACUCGGGUAUCUGUUACUGAAUACAUAGGUAACAGAGGCGAACCGGGAGAACUGAAACAUCUAAGUACCCCGAGGAAAAGAAAUCAACCGAGAUUCCCUCAGUAGCGGCGAGCGAACGGGGAUUAGCCCUUAAGCAUCUUGGAAGUUAGUGGAACGGUCCUGGAAAGGCCGGCGAUACAGGGUGAUAGCCCCGUACACGAAAACAACCUUGAUGUGAAAUCGAGUAGGGCGGGACACGUGACAUCCUGUCUGAAUAUGGGGGGACCAUCCUCCAAGGCUAAAUACUCCUGACUGACCGAUAGUGAACCAGUACCGUGAGGGAAAGGCGAAAAGAACCCCUGUGAGGGGAGUGAAAUAGAACCUGAAACCGUGUACGUACAAGCAGUGGGAGCCCUUCGGGGUGACUGCGUACCUUUUGUAUAAUGGGUCAGCGACUUACAUUUUGUAGCGAGGUUAACCGUAUAGGGGAGCCGUAGGGAAACCGAGUCUUAACUGGGCGUCUAGUUGCAAGGUGUAGACCCGAAACCGGGUGAUCUAGCCAUGGGCAGGUUGAAGGUUGAGUAACAUCAACUGGAGGACCGAACCCACUAACGUUGCAAAGUUAGGGGAUGACCUGUGGCUGGGGGUGAAAGGCCAAUCAAACUCGGAGAUAGCUGGUUCUCCCCGAAAGCUAUUUAGGUAGCGCCUCGGACGAAUACUACUGGGGGUAGAGCACUGUUUGGGCUAGGGGGUCAUCCCGACUUACCAACCCCAUGCAAACUCCGAAUACCAGUAAGUAAUAUCCGGGAGACACACGGCGGGUGCUAACGUCCGUCGUGAAGAGGGAAACAACCCAGACCGCCGGCUAAGGUCCCAAAGUUCUGGUUAAGUGGGAAACGAUGUGGGAAGGCUCAGACAGCUAGGAUGUUGGCUUAGAAGCAGCCAUCAUUUAAAGAAAGCGUAAUAGCUCACUAGUCGAGUCGGCCUGCGCGGAAGAUGUAACGGGGCUCAAACCAGGCACCGAAGCCGCGGAUUCACGCUAAGCGUGAGUGGUAGGGGAGCGUUCUGUAAGUCUGCGAAGGUGUGUCGAGAGGCAUGCUGGAGAUAUCAGAAGUGCGAAUGCUGACGUAAGUAACGAUAAAGGGGGUGAAAAGCCUCCUCGCCGGAAGACCAAGGGUUCCUGUCCAACGUUAAUCGGGGCAGGGUGAGUCGACCCCUAAGGUGAGGCCGAAAGGCGUAAUCGAUGGGAAGCAGGUUAAUAUUCCUGCACGACUUGUAAUUGCGAUGGGGGGACGGAGAAGGCUAGGUGGGCCAGGCGACGGUUGUCCUGGUGAAAGUGCGUAGGUGGUGUUUCUAGGCAAAUCCGGAGACACAACACUGAGACACGAGACGAACACACUACGGUGUGGAAGCCAUUGAUGCCCUGCUUCCAGGAAAAGCCUCUAAGCUUCAGAUUACAAGUCAUCGUACCCCAAACCGACACAGGUGGUCGGGUAGAGAAUACCAAGGCGCUUGAGAGAACUCGGGUGAAGGAACUAGGCAAAAUAGUACCGUAACUUCGGGAGAAGGUACGCUCUUGUUGGUGAAGUCCCUUGCGGAUGGAGCUGACGGGAGUCGCAGUGACCAGAUGGCUGGGACUGUUUAUCAAAAACACAGCACUCUGCAAACACGAAAGUGGACGUAUAGGGUGUGACACCUGCCCGGUGCCGGAAGGUUAAUUGAUGGGGUUAGCGCAAGCGAAGCUCUUGAUCGAAGCCCCGGUAAACGGCGGCCGUAACUAUAACGGUCCUAAGGUAGCGAAAUUCCUUGUCGGGUAAGUUCCGACCUGCACGAAUGGUGUAACCAUGGCCAUGCUGUCUCCACCCGAGACUCAGUGAAAUCGAAUUCGCCGUGAAGAUGCGGUGUACCCGCGGCUAGACGGAAAGACCCCGUGAACCUUUACUACAGCUUGGCACUGAACAUUGAACCUACAUGUGUAGGAUAGGUGGGAGGCUUUGAAGGCGUGACGCCAGUUGCGCUGGAGCCGUCCUUGAAAUACCACCCUUGUAUGUUUGAUGUUCUAACGCAGGGCCCUGAAUCGGGCUCGCGGACAGUGCCUGGUGGGUAGUUUGACUGGGGCGGUCUCCUCCCAAAGAGUAACGGAGGAGCACGAAGGUUGGCUAAUCCUGGUCGGACAUCAGGAGGUUAGUGCAAUGGCAUAAGCCAGCUUAACUGCGAGACGGACAGGUCGAGCAGGUACGAAAGUAGGUCAUAGUGAUCCGGUGGUUCUGAAUGGAAGGGCCAUCGCUCAACGGAUAAAAGGUACUCCGGGGAUAACAGGCUGAUACCGCCCAAGAGUUCAUAUCGACGGCGGUGUUUGGCACCUCGAUGUCGGCUCAUCACAUCCUGGGGCUGAAGUCGGUCCCAAGGGUAUGGCUGUUCGCCAUUUAAAGUGGUACGCGAGCUGGGUUCAGAACGUCGUGAGACAGUUCGGUCCCUAUCUGCCGUGGGCGUUGGAUGAUUGAAGGGAGUUGCUCCUAGUACGAGAGGACCGGAGUGAACGAACCUCUGGUGUUCGGGUUGUCACGCCAGUGGCACUGCCCGGUAGCUAAGUUCGGAAUCGAUAACCGCUGAAAGCAUCUAAGCGGGAAGCGAGCCCUGAGAUGAGUCAUCCCUGACCCCUUGAGGGUCCUAAAGGGCCGUUGGAGACCACAACGUUGAUAGGUGGGGUGUGUAAGCGCGGCGACGUGUUGAGCUAACCCAUACUAAUUACCCGUGAGGCUUAACCAU